GAUUGCAAUACUUUUUAUUAUCAACCUCUCUGCAAUCGCGGCUG
Molecule: non-coding RNA, 44 nt
Filed under: unclassified sequences
Description: S4-Bacteroidia ribosomal protein leader
Rfam family: S4-Bacteroidia ribosomal protein leader
Source: RNAcentral